Molecule: long non-coding RNA, 876 nt
Organism: Acanthopagrus latus (yellowfin seabream)
Lineage: Eukaryota; Metazoa; Chordata; Actinopteri; Spariformes; Sparidae
Exons: 4
Source: RefSeq, a predicted model, not a curated record
CUUCAUUAAUAACUGAGUUCAGAGUUGCUGCUGUCUUCACAUGUCGACUGUCGACAGCAGCUGGAAACACACACUCCAGUUAAACCAGUUAGAGGAAGGAAGUUCACCUCAGAGCAGAGGGGGAGGGUCAGGUCUGCCAGAGGAGGGUCCAACUUGUUAUUGAGGAAGAAGAAGAGAUCCAGUUUCAGAUGACAGCCGAGCGCUGACACACACGCAUUAAAAACAGCUUUGCUCCUGAUUCACCGCCGAGGAAACAUCGUUGAGUCUGAGCCUGAGCUCAGGGAACCUCAGAGACAUGGUGUGACUGAUCAUCAACGCCUGCAGGUUCGUGGUGCAGAAGAUCCGGGCUGCAGUGAGAGGAGAGGAGCAGCCGGAGAAGUCCAGCACCGCGGGAUGAGGCCAGGCGAAAGCACCGAAGGACGGCAGGAUGAGCGCUGAAGAGCCGGCGCUGAUUCCCCGUCCGACCCAGGAGGUCGAUGUGCUGCAGAAACAAGAUUGUGGAUCCUGAAAGUAAACUGAGAGCCGGAGGAGAAAGUGGAAGCUCCAUAAUGAGAUGACAAACAUAAAAACACCUUUACCAAACACACAAGCACAGGAAGAUUUGAUCCCCAGACUCCUGAACCUUGAAUUAUUCCGACUCCCACAAGCUUCCAGCUCUCAGUUUUCUUUCCUUCGUCCGGCGGAGAGACGAGCAGUCGGAGUCGGCAGAGAGAAUGAAAGUCUGAUCACCAAUUCCCCUCCAGAGGAACUGAUCAGUCUGGAUGAUAACAAAGACUCUGCUGAUGAAGCUGCAACAGAUCGUUUAUUCAUGUUUACACACACGUGUUCUUUUUCUGUCACUGUUUCACAAUGUUCAGUAAAAAUGGAACAACUUUC